GAUGAACGCUAGCGGCAGGCCUAAUACAUGCAAGUCGGACGGGAUUCAGGAGCUUGCUUCUGAUGAGAGUGGCGCACGGGUGCGUAACACGUAUGUAACCUACCUUUAUCAGGGGGAUAGCCUCUCGAAAGAGAGAUUAAGCCCGCAUAAAAUCACAGCACAGCAUUGUGUAAUGAUCAAAUAUUUAUAGGAUAAAGAUGGGCAUGCGGAACAUUAGCUAGAUGGCGGGGUAACGGCCCACCAUGGCGACGAUGUUUAGGGGAUCUGAGAGGAUGGCCCCCCACACUGGUACUGAGACACGGACCAGACUCCUACGGGAGGCAGCAGUAAGGAAUAUUGGUCAAUGGGCGGAAGCCUGAACCAGCCAUGCCGCGUGCAGGAAGACGGCCCUACGGGUCGUAAACUGCUUUUAUACGGGAAUAAACCCAGAUACGUGUAUCUGGCUGAAUGUACUGUAAGAAUAAGGAUCGGCUAACUCCGUG
RNAcentral lists this ribosomal RNA (482 nucleotides) under uncultured bacterium. RNAcentral's name for it is "partial 16S ribosomal RNA". It matches the Rfam family "Bacterial small subunit ribosomal RNA", at positions 28 to 507 of the family's 1533-position model. The record is from RNAcentral.